AGCGGCGAACGGGUGAGUAACACGUGGGUGAUCUGCCUCGCACUUCGGGAUAAGCCUGGGAAACUGGGUCUAAUACCGGAUAUGACCUUCCAGUGCAUGCUGGUUGGUGGAAAGAUUUAUCGGUGCGAGAUGGGCCCGCGGCCUAUCAGCUUGUUGGCGGGGUAACGGCCCACCAAGGCGACGACGGGUAGCCGACCUGAGAGGGUGACCGGCCACACUGGGACUGAGACACGGCCCAGACUCCUACGGGAGGCAGCAGUGGGGAAUAUUGCACAAUGGGCGAAAGCCUGAUGCAGCGACGCCGCGUGAGGGAUGACGGCCUUCGGGUUGUAAACCUCUUUCGACAGGGACGAAGCGAAAGUGACGGUACCUGUAGAAGAAGCACCGGCCAACUACGUGCCAGCAGCCGCGGUAAUACGUAGGGUGCGAGCGUUGUCCGGAAUUACUGGGCGUAAAGAGCUUGUAGGCGGUCUGUCGCGUCUUCUGUGAAAACUUGGGGCUCAACCUUAAGCUUGCAGGCGAUACGGGCAGACUAGAGUACUUCAGGGGAGACUGGAAUUCCUGGUGUAGCGGUGAAAUGCGCAGAUAUCAGGAGGAACACCGGUGGCGAAGGCGGGUCUCUGGGAAGUAACUGACGCUGAGAAGCGAAAGCGUGGGUAGCGAACAGGAUUAGAUACCCUGGUAGUCCACGCCGUAAACGGUGGGUACUAGGUGUGGGUUUCCUUCCACGGGAUCCGUGCCGUAGCUAACGCAUUAAGUACCCCGCCUGGGGAGUACGGCCGCAAGGCUAAAACUCAAAGGAAUUGACGGGGGCCCGCACAAGCGGCGGAGCAUGUGGAUUAAUUCGAUGCAACGCGAAGAACCUUACCUGGGUUUGACAUACACCGGAAACCUGCAGAGAUGUAGGCCCCCUUGUGGUCGGUGUACAGGUGGUGCAUGGCUGUCGUCAGCUCGUGUCGUGAGAUGUUGGGUUAAGUCCCGCAACGAGCGCAACCCUUGUCCUGUGUUGCCAGCGCGUAAUGGCGGGGACUCGCAGGAGACUGCCGGGGUCAACUCGGAGGAAGGUGGGGACGACGUCAAGUCAUCAUGCCCCUUAUGUCCAGGGCUUCACACAUGCUACAAUGGCCGGUACAGAGGGCUGCGAUACCGUGAGGUGGAGCGAAUCCCUUAAAGCCGGUCUCAGUUCGGAUCGGGGUCUGCAACUCGACCCCGUGAAGUUGGAGUCGCUAGUAAUCGCAGAUCAGCAACGCUGCGGUGAAUACGUUCCCGGGCCUUGUACACACCGCCCGUCACGUCAUGAAAGUCGGUAACACCCGAAGCCGG
RNAcentral lists this ribosomal RNA (1323 nucleotides) under Nocardia sp. RNAcentral describes it as "bacterial SSU rRNA". It matches the Rfam family "Bacterial small subunit ribosomal RNA", at positions 94 to 1430 of the family's 1533-position model. The record is from RNAcentral. Lineage: Bacteria; Bacillati; Actinomycetota; Actinomycetes; Mycobacteriales; Nocardiaceae.